GAUGAACGCUGGCGGCGUGCCUAAUACAUGCAAGUCGAGCGAACGGACGAGAAGCUUGCUUUUCUGAUGUUAGCGGCGGACGUGUGAGUAACACGUGGAUAACCUACCUAUAAGACUGGGAUAACUUCGGGAAACCGGAGCUAAUACCGGAUAAUAUUUUGAACCGCAUGGUUCAAAAGUGAAAGACGGUCUUGCUGUCACUUCUAGAUGGAUCCGCGCUGGAUUAGCUAGUUGGUAAGGUAACGGCUUACCAAGGCAACGAUGCAUAGCCGACCUGAGAGGGUGAUCGGCCACACUGGAACUGAGACACGGUCCAGACUCCUACGGGAGGCAGCAGUAGGGAAUCUUCCGCAAUGGGCGAAAGCCUGACGGAGCAACGCCGCGUGAGUGAUGAAGGUCUUCGGAUCGUAAAACUCUGUUAUUAGGGAAGAACAUAUGUGUAAGUAACUGUGCACAUCUUGACGGUACCUAAUCAGAAAGCCACGGCUAACUACGUG
This 497-nucleotide ribosomal RNA is filed under the name uncultured bacterium. RNAcentral describes it as "partial 16S ribosomal RNA". It matches the Rfam family "Bacterial small subunit ribosomal RNA", at positions 28 to 507 of the family's 1533-position model. The record is from RNAcentral.